AUUGAACGCUGGCGGCAUGCCUAACGCAUGCAAGUCGAACGGCAGCACAGCAGUAGCAAUACUGUGGGUGGCGAGUGGCGGACGGGUGAGGAAUACGUCGGAAUCUGCCCAGUCGUGGGGGAUAACUAGCCGAAAGGUUAGCUAAUACCGCAUACGACCGAGAGGUGAAAGCGGGGGACCGCAAGGCCUCGCGCGAUUGGAUGAGCCGACGUCGGAUUAGCUAGUUGGCGGGGUAAAGGCCCACCAAGGCGACGAUCCGUAGCUGGUCUGAGAGGAUGAUCAGCCACACUGGAACUGAGACACGGUCCAGACUCCUACGGGAGGCAGCAGUGGGGAAUAUUGGACAAUGGGCGCAAGCCUGAUCCAGCAAUGCCGCGUGUGUGAAGAAGGCCUUACGGGGUUGUUAAAGGCACUUUAUCUAGGACGAAAGACGUGGAUUAAUACUCUGACGUGCUGACGGUACC
Molecule: ribosomal RNA, 464 nt
Filed under: uncultured bacterium
Lineage: Bacteria
Description: bacterial SSU rRNA
Rfam family: Bacterial small subunit ribosomal RNA
Source: RNAcentral